Molecule: ribosomal RNA, 639 nt
Filed under: Triticum aestivum (bread wheat)
Lineage: Eukaryota; Viridiplantae; Streptophyta; Magnoliopsida; Poales; Poaceae
Description: partial small subunit ribosomal RNA
Source: RNAcentral
AUGGUCGCCAACCAGCCCCUUGAUCAGAACGCGAUGGCCACCAACGAGCUCCCUGAUCAGAUCACGAUGGCGGCCGAGGAGCUCCCCGUUCAGAUCGCGCUGGCGGCCGAGGAGCUCCCUGUUCCUAACCCGCCGCCUUCCUCCUGCUCCACCAACAGCUGUCUGCGGGGGCUUGCGCAGGAAGAUGACUAUGUAAUACUGAUUCCUCAUUCCCACAUCUUUGCCCUCAUGCUGCAAGCUCUCAAGUUGCCCCCUGCGACUUACCAUCACAAGACAUAUCUAGGCAAUGAGUCUCGUGUGACGGUUACUUUCAAUUCAUCGUUAAAGUUGAUCGAUGGUUUGCUUGUUCCAACCUCGAUAUCUGGUGUGAUCUCAAAGAACUGUGAUGAAGCAGAAGACAGUGCUGCUAUGGCAGCCAUUAGGUUUAUGGAGGAUGUAUGUGGCAAGGAAAUCAGGGAUUAUCACUACAUCCAUGUUAAAAGGCCGGAAAAUAAGGUGACACACCUGGUAAGGUUGCUGGUUGCAGCAAACAAGACAAUAAAGAAGGCACACAGAGGAUGGUACUAUGCUGUCAGAUACAUGAGCUCGUAUUCUAACCAGAUACAGAAUACGACAGCUGCUCGGCGCCUAAGAGGGUAG